UGUAGGUACAGUCACCAGACAGAGGGAGCCUGAGCUACCCCAGCCUUAAACAAAGUAAGCAUCACAGGCAUUUUCUUUUACAUUUCAAUUACAGUGUGGCAAUGGGGCUGAGCUCUAAAACUGGUGAAAAAACAGGCAGAAUUCAGGACUUUAAAUAUAACGCAAGAAAAGGGUGCUCAGAAAGAAACAUAGAACGUAAUCACAUAAUACACAGCUUUUAUAUCCCACACCCUUUAUAUUACGGUUGUAAUUAUGACAUUUAAAUCUUUUAGACAAGAGAAGAAAAGAAACACAACGUUUCGCCCGAGGAGCCUUCUACGGGUGUCACCUCGGGUGAUUAUGAGGAUUUAGAUUAAUACAAUUCAACUCCGAUAAUGUAUUUAGGUAGAAAUCUGAACAUUCACAAACUACGAAGGACACAAACCCGAACCCUUCCGCUCUCUGCACACAAUAUAUACAAAGUAUUUCUGACGUAAAACAACAUACACUGAUAAGACUUAUUAAAAACCGUCCAUACCACUAAAAAAAGGGGGGCAAAUGUUUCUCAAAAUAGGGUUUUGUUGAGAUUUUUUGGAGGGAAUAAUGCUAAACGGUUUGGCAGAAAACGGAAAACAUCGAUAGCAAAUUCCAGACGGAAGCAAUCGAUCUCUUUUCCCCCUCAAACGCUUCCGUCGAAAAGAAAAGAAAGCAAAACAGUCUUUCACAGAAAGGACUCGAAUGCCGGCGGCGCAUUCAUCUUGAAGUAAGUUGUCCCUGAGAAGGAGCCGGAGAAACGCGCCGCGGCGGAAUUAGGACAGAGCAAUGGCGGCCGCGGCAGGCCUGGGGUCCGGCCACCAGGGGGCAGCACACACCUGUCUGCUGACGAGCUCCCUAAACUACUACGACUACUAAACACAGCGUUGUAUGAUCAUAAAUAAACAAUAAUAAAUAAGAA
Long non-coding RNA from Lepisosteus oculatus (spotted gar), 934 nucleotides. RefSeq lists it as uncharacterized. The record is from RefSeq and is a predicted model, not a curated record. Lineage: Eukaryota; Metazoa; Chordata; Actinopteri; Semionotiformes; Lepisosteidae.